Molecule: ribosomal RNA, 254 nt
Filed under: uncultured bacterium
Lineage: Bacteria
Description: partial 16S ribosomal RNA
Rfam family: Bacterial small subunit ribosomal RNA
Source: RNAcentral
AGUAUGGCAAGGCGAAGCUGAACCAGUCAUACGCGUGGGUGAGAAUUCUUCGGUUGUAAAGCCCUUUUGUUGGGAAAGAAAUCCAGCUGGCUAAUACCCGGUUGGGAUGACGGUACCCAAAGAAUAAGCACCGGCUAACUUCGUGCCAGCAGCCGCGGUAAUACAAAGGGUGCAAGCGUUACUCGGAAUUACUGGGCGUAAAGCGUGCGUAGGUGGUCGUUUAAGUCCGUUGGUGAAGCCGGUCAACCUGGGAU